AAUGGCCACUAGGGGGCGUCAGUGUCCUGUAAAACCCUUUCUCGCGCUUCCAUAUCGAAAUGAAUUCACAUCAGGUUGAAUUUUUUUUUUAAAGCCAUACUUUUAUUAUGCAACUAAGUAUGUAAGAAACAUCUGAGUUUAAUGAUAUUUAGUUUAAAUAACCAAAAUUAAUUUUAACACAUGCAUUAAAAUAAUGCUUAAAUACUAAGUGCUACGCGAGGGGUGGAUGGACAUCAGUUUUAAUGCUGAAAUAUGAGCAAUCGGAACUAAAGGCGGAUAAAUAAGGCCAAGCCAAGAGGGAUUGUCUUUACACGUGGAGAGGAGCUCAAAAAAUUAGUUGCACGGACUCAACACUUGGGAUAGAAGUAGUAAUUAUUUGUGCAAUAUACGCCGGAGAGAUUCAACACAAAACAAACGAGGGACAUAAUGAGAGUGCUACAUGUCUACCACAAUUCCUGGACUUUAUGGACCGUGUUCAUGUGUGUAACGAGUGGAGUUCAUUCACAAGAAAGACUGUAAGUAUACUAUGUUUUGGAGGUGGCCGAAGAAGAUCGAGAAUGUCCUACAGGAGAAGAACCAGAACAGGAACUUAUACUCAUUCCUGCAGGUGGGGAGGAGCCAGGUUCUGGAGCUGAGGUGUCCUACUAUUCUUACAAGUAUUCCCCAGAGAGUGAGGGAAAAAAAAAGUGUCUAUAGAAGAAGAAGAGGUGGCAGACACCACACAGCUUCUGGGUGGACAUAUCCUCACAGUGGACACAAAGGACUCACUUGAGCGAUGAGACCCCUGGCUGCCAGCAAAUGCAGGAGCUCCACAUUUUACAUUCUCUGCGAAUAUGUUUGUGUAUAAGAAGGGCUGGGAAAAAUAGGGAUACCCGGUCAGUUGUGAUGAGAUGACAGCUCUGAGUGUGUAUGGAAAGAGAGAUAAUAUCAGUUCUUCUUUCUUUUAUUUUUUAAAAUUCAUUUCCAUAGCAGACACUGACUAUGCAUCCAUGCUAAAUGAAAAUUGGCUCGUAUGAAAUCUGCACUUUUAAACAGAAUGUCUCUAAUGCGACUAUUUAAGUUCACGGAGUAAUUUGGUUUAAUUAAAUGUUAAGUUACCAAUAAGUCCCAUUUAACAUACUUUUACUCUAUUUAAAUUCCCCUAAAAUCAAUGCAGAUUUGCCAAAUGGCCUAUGUCAUUUGGAAAAUCACUUAAAAUUAACCAUCAAUAUCACAUUUAUUAAAAAAAAAAUUAAGUCAGUGUGAAUAAACUAUUGCUAUGCUUGAAUUGCAAUUUGCAUUCUGUUUGUUCUAUAUAAUAUGCAAAAUUAGUAUAAGGGCAUACCAAAUAUAUACUAAAAAUACCAUAUGUAUAUUUUGAGUGGAAAUUUCUAAGUAUUUUAGGACACAUUGCUCACAAUCAGUAAUACUGGAGAAUUUGGUAUGUGAUUAUUCUCCAAUGUGUAAAGACCGUAUACCACAACCGUAAAAAGUAUAUACUAUGCAAACGCUUAGCAUAUGCAUACAAUAAGUAGUAUUUCAAAGUGCUCUUAAUCUCCCAAUUCUAUCUAUUUUUCGCACAAUUGCAAGUUAUAAAAUUCUGAUUUUACAUCUCACAGGUUAUGCUCACCCUAAUGUAUGCAUGAAAACCCUUAAUAUACUUUGGGCUUUAUUAUUGCAGAGCAGUCUUAUGUAUUCACAAUACUACUGUAUAUACAGUAUUAAAAGUACAUACACUUAUGCUAAAGUUGCUUUCAAACAGUUUUGAGAGAAUCUAUUGUUCCUGGUUAACUGCUUGAGCUACUUCAAAGCUCUCUGACACUUGUUUGAAGGUCCAGGCAGAACAUUGACCCCAUGUAUUUCUGUCCACUGGGUCAGCUUGUGAGACUUCAGCUCCAGUUACCUUAGGAUUGUUAAUGUUUGAUGUUUAUUUGAUGGUCAGUGAAGUGGUGAACAUGUUCACCUAUCAUGCCUCCAUUCAUUUUAAUAGCUCUCCCAGAGUUUCUUACAAUGCAUAUCAGAUGGGAAUAUUGUGCAUACUCACUUACAUGUCCUUCAGAAGUUCCCAUCUUCUCAAAUGUCGAGGGCCUUUUCUAUGCUGGUUUGCAGGGAGGGGUCCCAGCUGCUGGUCUCCUUAGUGACCCAUGCUUGAUGGUCCAUCUCUGCUCAGCUGAACAGAGUAAAGACAUGAAAGAGAAAGGGAAGCGAGAGGAGGAAUUCUCUGAUGGAUAUAAUGUUACAUGACAAUGAAGUGAUGAAAACUUUUGUGCUUCUGUCUCUCAAACACAUUUGUAAUAUUUAGAGGACAUCUUAUUUAGUUCAGCUAGGAAGAAGGUCCUACUAACCAUCGCUUCAGCUUUGUACAUGGAUGUUUUGAAGAUCUACCCAUACUCGUGGUUUUGCAAAGUAGCUGCUUGCGUUUUUAAAUUUCCUGAAACUGAUUUUGCAGGAAACAUUCUGUAGAUUUCUAGAAUGGUUAUACCUCCAGUCCCAAAUGCAAUCUUGACUUGAACUGUGUUUGAAGGAAGUAUCAGCAUGUGUGGAAUCAAACUGGUCCUCAAACAUUUGUGGGCUGAUGUUAUGGCAGUAUCAGAGAAGAUAACCAAAUGCACUGUCAGUCCUCCACUCCAGGAAAAACCAUCAGGCCACUGGGAUGAGCUCACAUUCCUGCUGGGCUGCAUCUAGAGGGUGUGGAUCUUCUCAACAGCUGCCUGCCAAAAACUGCAUCACUGCAUAUUUCUGAUAACAAGUAGGGAAGUGCAUAUGUUGUGUGUGCAUGACUGCAUUAUGACGGCUGUGUUUUCCAGUCUUGUUUACAGGGCCUGGUCAAUACAUCCUUCCAAUGACUAUUGGCUUUGUAGGCCAUGAUUUCACCAGUCAACAAUUCCUACUCCCUCCAUGGCAGGAUGACUAACAACAGUGAGUUUAUAUGUACUUACAGUGAAAUAAGAGAACUCCGUAGGAAAUAACGCAAAUAUAACAGCUGGAGUCUUUCUAGCUCAUUUUAUGCCAGGAAUGUACAAAUCAGCAAUGAUGACAUUUUCACUAAAAUCAUUGAUGAAGUUGUAUUUUGCUAAUGUCAGCAGUAGAGGGAGACAGACUGCUGGAAAUAUCCAUUGUUGAACAUUUCUGUAUUGAUAGGCUAGUAGAUCAGAAGUUAUAUAUGUAUUAAUAUUAUUUUCAUGUUACUUUACAGAAAAGGAUACAACUACGCUUAAUUUUGCCCCUAAGGAUUUUUUUUUUUAGCAUUAAAAUAUUUCUAAUAUUGCUUUUUUAUUAUUAUUCAUACUAAACCAUUUACUUGUUUAUUAACAAGUAUAAACAAUAUCAACAAGUAUAGUGAUAUAGUAUAUCGGUUUCUUUCCGGAGUGAUAUAAUGCUUUGACUGUACAGUGCAUAGCAUUGACCGUAGUCCAGGGCCUAAAUAUCCUAUUGAUGCCAAACUGACUCGCUUUGGAAGAGAGAGCAGCCCUGUCUACUCCAUACAUGGCAGGAUGGAAAGUCAAGAUAAAUCGGUUAUUUUGAAGUGGCACUGU
Carassius gibelio (silver crucian carp) is the source of this 3515-nucleotide long non-coding RNA. RefSeq lists it as uncharacterized. Lineage: Eukaryota; Metazoa; Chordata; Actinopteri; Cypriniformes; Cyprinidae. The record is from RefSeq and is a predicted model, not a curated record. The transcript has 4 exons.